Molecule: ribosomal RNA, 695 nt
Filed under: Pseudomonas sp. 22-white
Lineage: Bacteria; Pseudomonadati; Pseudomonadota; Gammaproteobacteria; Pseudomonadales; Pseudomonadaceae
Description: bacterial SSU rRNA
Rfam family: Bacterial small subunit ribosomal RNA
Source: RNAcentral
GAUUGAACGCUGGCGGCAGGCCUAACACAUGCAAGUCGAGCGGUAGAGAGAAGCUUGCUUCUCUUGAGAGCGGCGGACGGGUGAGUAAUGCCUAGGAAUCUGCCUGGUAGUGGGGGAUAACGUUCGGAAACGAACGCUAAUACCGCAUACGUCCUACGGGAGAAAGCAGGGGACCUUCGGGCCUUGCGCAAUCAGAUGAGCCUAGGUCGGAUUAGCUAGUUGGUGAGGUAAUGGCUCACCAAGGCGACGAUCCGUAACUGGUCUGAGAGGAUGAUCAGUCACACUGGAACUGAGACACGGUCCAGACUCCUACGGGAGGCAGCAGUGGGGAAUAUUGGACAAUGGGCGAAAGCCUGAUCCAGCCAUGCCGCGUGUGUGAAGAAGGUCUUCGGAUUGUAAAGCACUUUAAGUUGGGAGGAAGGGCCAUUACCUAAUACGUGAUGGUUUUGACGUUACCGACAGAAUAAGCACCGGCUAACUCUGUGCCAGCAGCCGCGGUAAUACAGAGGGUGCAAGCGUUAAUCGGAAUUACUGGGCGMAAAGCGCGCGUAGGUGGUUUGUUAAGUUGGAUGUGAAAGCCCCGGGCUCAACCUGGGAACUGCWUUCAAAACUGACAAGCUAGAGUAUGGUAGAGGGUGGUGGAAUUUCCUGUGUAKSGGUGAAAUGCGUAGAUAUAGGAAGGAACACCAGUGGCG